This 561-nucleotide ribosomal RNA is filed under the name uncultured bacterium. Its description in RNAcentral is "bacterial SSU rRNA". It matches the Rfam family "Bacterial small subunit ribosomal RNA", at positions 338 to 916 of the family's 1533-position model. The record is from RNAcentral.
CCUACGGGGGGCAGCAGUGGGGAAUAUUGGACAAUGGGCGAAAGCCUGAUCCAGCAAUGCCGCGUGAGUGAUGAAGGCCUUAGGGUUGUAAAGCUCUUUUACCAGGGAUGAUAAUGACAGUACCUGGAGAAUAAGCUCCGGCUAACUCCGUGCCAGCAGCCGCGGUAAUACGGAGGGAGCUAGCGUUGUUCGGAAUUACUGGGCGUAAAGAGUACGUAGGCGGUUAUUCAAGUCAGAGGUGAAAGCCCGGGGCUCAACCCCGGAACUGCCUUUGAAACUAGAUAGCUAGAGUCUUGGAGAGGUUAGUGGAAUUCCGAGUGUAGAGGUGAAAUUCGUAGAUAUUCGGAAGAACACCAGUGGCGAAGGCGACUAACUGGACAAGUACUGACGCUGAGGUACGAAAGCGUGGGGAGCAAACAGGAUUAGAUACCCUGGUAGUCCACGCCGUAAACGAUGAUAACUAGUUGUUCGGGCACUUGGUGCCUGAGUGACGCAGCUAACGCAUUAAGUUAUCCGCCUGGGGAGUACGGUCGCAAGAUUAAAACUCAAAUGAAUUGACGG